RNAcentral lists this non-coding RNA (31 nucleotides) under Mus musculus (house mouse). The record is from RNAcentral. Lineage: Eukaryota; Metazoa; Chordata; Mammalia; Rodentia; Muridae.
UAUUUGAUUUACACAGACAGUGUUUUAGGAC